AGCGAACGCUGGCGGCAGGCCUAACACAUGCAAGUCGAACGAACCUUUCGGGGUUAGUGGCGGACGGGUGAGUAACACGUGGGAACGUGCCUUUAGGUUCGGAAUAACUCAGGGAAACUUGUGCUAAUACCGAAUGUGCCCUUCGGGGGAAAGAUUUAUCGCCUUUAGAGCGGCCCGCGUCUGAUUAGCUAGUUGGUUGAGGUAAUGGCUCACCAAGGCGACGAUCAGUAGCUGGUCUGAGAGGAUGAUCAGCCACAUUGGGACUGAGACACGGCCCAAACUCCUACGGGAGGCAGCAGUGGGGAAGCUUGCGCAAUGGGCGAAAACCUGACGCAGCCAUGCCGCGUGAAUGAUGAAGGGCUUAGGAUUGUAAAAUUCUUUCACCGGGGACGAUAAUGACGGUACCCGGAGAAGAAGCCCCGGCUAACUUCGU
Molecule: ribosomal RNA, 433 nt
Filed under: uncultured bacterium
Lineage: Bacteria
Description: partial 16S ribosomal RNA
Rfam family: Bacterial small subunit ribosomal RNA
Source: RNAcentral